This 460-nucleotide ribosomal RNA is filed under the name uncultured bacterium. Its description in RNAcentral is "partial 16S ribosomal RNA". It matches the Rfam family "Bacterial small subunit ribosomal RNA", at positions 338 to 795 of the family's 1533-position model. The record is from RNAcentral.
CCUACGGGGGGCAGCAGUGAGGAAUAUUGGUCAAUGGGCGCGAGCCUGAACCAGCCAAGUAGCGUGAAGGAUGCCUGCCCUACGGGUUGUAACCUUCUUUUAUAAAGGAAUAAAGUGAGGCACGUGUGCCUUUUUGUCUGUACUUUAUGAAUAAGGAUCGGCUCACUCCGUUCCAGCAGCCGCGGUAAUACGGAGGAUCCGAGCGUUCUCCGGAUUUAUUGGGUUUAAGGGGAGCGUAGAUGGGUUUUUAAGUGAGUUGUGAAAGUUUGCGUCUCAACCGUAAAAUUGCAAUUGAUACUGGCAGUCUUGAGUACAGUUGAGGUAGGCGGAAUUCGUGGUGUAGCGGUGAAAUGCUUAGAUAUCACGAAGAACUCCGAUUGCGAAGGCAGCUUACUAAACUGCCACUGACAUUGAUGCUCGAAAGUGUGGGUAUCAAACAGGAUUAGAUACCCCUGUAGUC